AACACGUGUGCAACCUGCCUUUAUCUGGGGGAUAGCCUUUCGAAAGGAAGAUUAAUACCCCAUAAUAUAUUGAGUGGCAUCACUUGAUAUUGAAAACUCCGGUGGAUAGAGAUGGGCACGCGCAAGAUUAGAUAGUUGGUGAGGUAACGGCUCACCAAGUCAAUGAUCUUUAGGGGGCCUGAGAGGGUGAUCCCCCACACUGGUACUGAGACACGGACCAGACUCCUACGGGAGGCAGCAGUGAGGAAUAUUGGACAAUGGGUGAGAGCCUGAUCCAGCCAUCCCGCGUGAAGGACGACUGCCCUAUGGGUUGUAAACUUCUUUUAUACUGGGAUAAACCUACCCUCGUGAGGGUAGCUGAAGGUACAGUAUGAAUAAGCAUCGGCUAACUCCGUGCCAGCAGCCGCGGUAAUACGGAGGAUGCGAGCGUUAUCCGGAAUCAUUGGGUUUAAAGGGUCCGUAGGCGGCCUUAUAAGUCAGUGGUGAAAUCUCCUAGCUCAACUAGGAAACUGCCAUUGAUACUGUAGGGCUUGAAUUAUUGGGAAGUAACUAGAAUAUGUAGUGUAGCGGUGAAAUGCUUAGAUAUUACAUGG
RNAcentral lists this ribosomal RNA (593 nucleotides) under uncultured bacterium. RNAcentral describes it as "bacterial SSU rRNA". It matches the Rfam family "Bacterial small subunit ribosomal RNA", at positions 112 to 704 of the family's 1533-position model. The record is from RNAcentral.